This 263-nucleotide long non-coding RNA is filed under the name Pelobates cultripes (western spadefoot toad). The record is from RNAcentral. Lineage: Eukaryota; Metazoa; Chordata; Amphibia; Anura; Pelobatidae.
UACUUUUUCAAAUGGUAUGCCAUUAUGGGGGUAAUUCUCAUUCCUGGGCUACCACACCGUCUCAAAGGUAACAUUGCUAAUCUGGCAAAUUUCAAUUUGAAAAUGGAACGUUCUAUAUUUGACCCUGUAACUUUCCAAAACACCAUAAAACCUGUUAAUGGGGGGUACUGUUGUACUCGUGAGACAUCGCUGAUUACAAAUAUGUGCAUUUUUUGCAGUAAAACCUAACAGUAUUAUGACAUUCACAGCUAAAAUGUCAGACG